Molecule: ribosomal RNA, 484 nt
Filed under: uncultured bacterium
Lineage: Bacteria
Description: bacterial SSU rRNA
Rfam family: Bacterial small subunit ribosomal RNA
Source: RNAcentral
AUUGAACGCUGGCGGAAUGCUUUACACAUGCAAGUCGAACGGCAGCACGGACUUCGGUCUGGUGGCGAGUGGCGAACGGGUGAGUAAUACAUCGGAACGUGCCCAGUCGUGGGGGAUAACGUAGCGAAAGCUACGCUAAUACCGCAUACGAUCUACGGAUGAAAGCGGGGGAUCGCAAGACCUCGCGCGAUUGGAGCGGCCGAUGGCAGAUUAGGUAGUUGGUGGGGUAAAGGCUCACCAAGCCGACGAUCUAUAGCUGGUCUGAGAGGAUGAUCAGCCACACUGGGACUGAGACACGGCCCAGACUCCUACGGGAGGCAGCAGUGGGGAAUUUUGGACAAUGGGCGCAAGCCUGAUCCAGCCAUUCCGCGUGCAGGACGAAGGCCUUCGGGUUGUAAACUGCUUUUGUACAGAACGAAAAGCUCUGGGUUAAUACCUCGGGGUCAUGACGGUACUGUAAGAAUAAGCACCGGCUAACUACGUG